GUGCCAGCCGCCGCGGUAAUACGUAGGGUCCGAGCGUUGUCCGGAAUUACUGGGCGUAAAGAGCUCGUAGGUGGUUUGUCGCGUUGUUCGUGAAAACUCACAGCUUAACUGUGGGCGUGCGGGCGAUACGGGCAGACUAGAGUACUGCAGGGGAGACUGGAAUUCCUGGUGUAGCGGUGGAAUGCGCAGAUAUCAGGAGGAACACCGGUGGCGAAGGCGGGUCUCUGGGCAGUWACUGACGCUGAGGAGCGAAAGCGUGGGGAGCGAACAGGAUUAGAUACCCUGGUAGUCCACGCCGUAAACGGUGGGUACUAGGUGUGGGUUUCCUUCCUUGGGAUCCGUGCCGUAGCUAACGCAUUAAGUACCCCGCCUGGGGAGUACGGCCGCAAGGCUAAAACUCAAAGGAAUUGACGG
This 414-nucleotide ribosomal RNA is filed under the name uncultured organism. RNAcentral's name for it is "SSU rRNA". It matches the Rfam family "Bacterial small subunit ribosomal RNA", at positions 505 to 916 of the family's 1533-position model. The record is from RNAcentral.